This is a microRNA precursor of Bison bison bison, 97 nucleotides long. Lineage: Eukaryota; Metazoa; Chordata; Mammalia; Artiodactyla; Bovidae. The record is from Ensembl.
AAACAGCCGACGUUGCGGCAUGCGGGAUCUUUAGUUGUGGUGUGUGAAUUCUUAGUUGCAGCAACUAAAGAUCCCUCAGGCUGCAAUGAAGAUCAGA